RNAcentral lists this non-coding RNA (225 nucleotides) under Aeribacillus pallidus. RNAcentral describes it as "T-box sequence". It matches the Rfam family "T-box leader". Rfam says of the family: Uncharged tRNA acts as the effector for transcription antitermination of genes in the T-box leader family. Lineage: Bacteria; Bacillati; Bacillota; Bacilli; Caryophanales; Bacillaceae. The record is from RNAcentral.
GACAAAACAAUGAGAGGGACAGUAGUCCUUUCAAACCCUUUAUGACAGCGAACCGGGGACGGUGGAAGCCCGGGUAAAGGCGAAAGGAUGAACAUCACCCUUGAGUCCAUAGCUGAAACAUGCUAGUAGGCUGUGGCGGCCAAGUCCGUUAUGUUUAUGAGUGGAUGUGCAUGAUUUGUGCGCAUCUAAAAGGGUGGUACCGCGAGAUUCCUCCUCGUCCCUUAG